GUAUUAAAAGAUGAAUUCUUCUCUUUAGAGUUCAAAGAACCAGUAUUUUUGGUGGAAGGAAUGGGCCAAGCCCAUGAACUUUCUGUGGACACCCCUCAAGUUGCAAAUGGUUUUAUCCCUUCCCUCCUGGUAGCCGGCGGGGCAGAAAGUAGGGUGGGGAGAGUGAGUCAUAGGCUCCAGCCUGCCGCCAAAGGGUUGGUCCGGGGCGAGGCCUGGACUCCUGGGACUGGAAGCUGGUUCUGAAAGGCCAGGGUCAGGUACUCUUCUGAGAAAUGAGGGUAAGGAUAGAGAGGCAUAAGGUGGUGAUGAAGAUUCAGUGUGGAAAUAUAAAGUGUUCUGGCAAAAAGAAGGCCCUCCGAAAGCACUGCCUGCUCUUCCCAGAAUGGAGGGAGAAAAAUGUUCCUGUACACGCACCCGGAGGCUCUUGCAGGAGGCGGCUGUUGGAGAAACGGGAAAACAAGCCAAGAAACAAGAGAGAGGAAAAAGACCACGCCUCGCCUGGCAGAUUCCUAAUGGCCCAGGAGACCCAGGCUUUACAGUGGGAGGCCGGUGGGGGCUGGCUCUGGUGGGAGGGAAGGGCAGGCCGAAGGACAGUCACUUGCUGACCGGUGACCUUGGGUGGGAUGCUGCCUGCUUCCCCCUGGUGAGAAUGGGAAGGAGGGGACAGGGGCAGAGCUGGCCGGCUGAGGUCACAGGAAGGCCCCUUCCAGCCUGAAAUGCGAUCUCGGGAUGUGGGGCCUGCCAACCUGCAGCGACCCUGGGCCAGCAGAGAUGAAAGGCUGCCUGUCCCCAGCUUCCGGACCCCUGAGGCCCCAGUGCCUCAAACUUGAAGGGCAGCAAAGCUGUUGCAGCUGGCUAGAGCCAGUUGCUGGGCUCCCCACCCCACCUGAUGUCGUCCAACUCUCCCUUCCCUGUUUUGCAGAGGACGCUCUGGCCCAGAGAAGGCUGGUGACCUGCCUGAGGUCACACAGCAAGUUGGAGGCCGAGCCAGGACUCAUCACCACAAAGUCUUUGGACUCAAAAUCCAGGCCUUGUAGCCUUUCCCAGAAACUUGGCUGACUGGGGGCUUACCCUGGGGAGUUGGAGAGACCCAAGGCUAGGGAGGAGAGUUGGGAGCUGUGUCUGUUUGAAGUCACGACUUAAUGUUGACUAAAGCGCCUUUUUUUUUUUUAAGACAAAAAGAACGUUCCAGGCCCCUGCCAUGAGCCUGGACUUGCUCUGCUGGCAGGGGAAGGAAUGCAGCUCUGGCCGCCACAGCUGCUGGUGGCCAGCUGCGGCCUCCACUCCCGCUGCUCCCGCCCCAGCAGGCAAAGGGACAAAGGCCUCUCUUCAGGCCUGUCCCCUCCAGCCCCCUGGAUCGGUGGGGGCAGAGCAUCACCCAGGAGGCUUGGUCACUGACCAGCUAAGUCUCUGUUCCUCUCUGGGCCUUAGUGCCCUUUCUGAAAAAUGGGAGCAGAAUAUCUGCCUGCCCUACUUCUCAGUGCUGUUUUCAGGCUCCAAAGGGGUAAAGUUACAGAAAUAUAGAGCUCUCAGCGCCUCCUUCUGCCUGGGGGUCUGCCUCCUUAUCAACCCUUCUGCCUCAAAUGCCCCUCCUCCCUCCUGCUUUCCCUGGCCAGCCCCAGCUCACUCAGCUCAGCGGGGCCAUCCCUCGCUCUGAGGAGUCUUCCCUCACCUGCAGACUGCCCUGCUCCUUCAGGGUGUUUAUCACUGUUGUAAUUAAAUAAUUAAUUGUGUAAUUGGAUCUGUCUCCCCACUAAAAUGUGAACUCUGUAGUAAUAACAGCUGACACUAAAUGCUUACCUGGUGCCAGAAACUUCACAUGUAUUCACCUGUUUAAUCGCUGUGGCCGGUACUGUUAGUUUCCCCAUCUUACAGAUGAGAAAACUGAGACGAUGAGAGGUUCAGGAACUCACCUGAAGUCACAGCAAUUUGGAGGCUGAGUCAGGACUCCGCACAAAGAAGUUGCAGAACCAGGAUUCAAAUCCAGACCCCAGGCUGUAACCACUACCCCACUAACGAGGCAGGUUCAGCUUGUCGCCCACCUAUCCCCAGCUGCCAGAACAUCUGGCAUACAGUAGGUGCUCCAUAUAUGUCCACCGAAUGAAUACAUAAACAGGGGAUGAACACACGUGAGCAUCUGGAGGAGAAUAAAGCACCCUCCAGGAAUGAGUUUUGCAGGUAUCAUGUGUGGAGCUGAGCCGCGGUGGGGUCGGGGGUGCCCAAUAUGUUGUUAAAGACAUUAUUGGGCUUCUUUCUGGAGCACAGAGGCCAAAAACCGGGACAUCCUUCUUCUCAGGAUGACUCCUCCUUCCACUUCAUCUGCCAGAGUCAAUCAGUGCCCAGGUUCUGCUUCUUGUCUCCCCAAGGCACCCCCUCUUAUCCGUCCCUCAACCCCUAUCUUUUUCUUGGGUUUUUGCAGCAACUUGUGCACAGGUGUCUGUCUCUAAUUUCUC
Molecule: long non-coding RNA, 2453 nt
Organism: Equus caballus (horse)
Lineage: Eukaryota; Metazoa; Chordata; Mammalia; Perissodactyla; Equidae
Source: Ensembl